GGGGAGAUUGUGUGCUGGGGUCCUGGGAGUGCGCAGGGCCUGGAUGGGAGGAGAGGAGCCAACCUGAGCCACACUGAGAAGCCACGGGGCUGGGCGGACAGAGGGCAAGGCCAGAGCAGGCCUGCAGCCAGGGGUCCCCAGAGGAAGGCAGAGGAAGGAGAGGCCUGCCCCUGCCUCGUGGGGGACCCAUCUCAAAGCCUGAUGGGAAGUGCGGCAUUCUGGAUGAAUCCCAGUCCUGUGGGGCCACGGAGCCCUGCGUGCUGUGGGCUGAGGGAGCAGGCAGUUCUUCCGGGGGCAGUUGGGCUCACCUUUGAAGGCUGCAAGCUUUUCUGGCAGGUUCUCUUCAUCGCUGUACUUCUGGUCACAGAGGAACUCCUACAGAGAUGUCAUUUUUCCCACUAAACGAUGUCUGGCGAAGGAGAGCUCACCCACCCUACGGUCUAUUGUGAACCCGGCAGACAGAGAUGACAGCACCUAAGUGGCCUCUGCGGGACCUCCUGCAGCUCGGAUCCCUAUGCUCACCCCAGUGUGCUGACGGGAGAGGACAGCCACCCGCAUGUGGCUCCCCAGCCACUCACGCUCUGAUUCCACAGGCCGGAGCUCAACCAGAGGGGUUACACAAGAUGUCUAGCCCACGUAGCACCGAGGCAGUAUGGGAGGGAUGCUCGGCCCAGUCCCAGGACCCAGCUGGCUCCUGGCAGCUCCCACCUAGCUGGAGAUGGAGCCUUCUCCCUAAGGAGCCAGGACUGUCCCCUUCCUGCUGGCUGCAUGGAGAGUGGUUUUUCCUCCAGGCCCCCUCUCAUAGCUCUUUGCCAAGCUCCCCCAUUACCAUACCAAAAGUGGGACAACUCACUCUUGUUGGUGACCCCAGCAAACGAAGUAACUCUCAGGGUCCUGAUCCCUCAUCUGCCCACGUAGGGACAGGUUAGGUCAGUGGCUUUUAGACUCCGGGGUAAUGAAGACGAACGGCAUUAAAAAGGGGGAGAGACCCUAAUUAGGUCUGCCAACUCUCUCCUUUGCCAAGUAAAGGCCUCUUAAACAAUGGCCACGGACAGUUACCAUGAGUACAGCAGCCAAUCAGUUCUGAAUUGUAACAUGGCGACUGCUUAAGCCUCUUCUAA
This is a long non-coding RNA of Mesocricetus auratus (golden hamster), 1121 nucleotides long. RefSeq lists it as uncharacterized. The transcript is spliced from 2 exons. The record is from RefSeq and is a predicted model, not a curated record. Lineage: Eukaryota; Metazoa; Chordata; Mammalia; Rodentia; Cricetidae.